UACGUAGGGUGCGAGCGUUUAAUCGGAAUUACUGGGCGUAAAGCGUGCGCAGGCGGCUUCGCAAGUCAGACGUGAAAUCCCCCGGGCUUAACCUGGGGAAUGGCGUUUUGAAAACUACGGAGCUGGAGUGUGGCAGAGGGAGGUAGAAUUCCACGUGUAGCGGUGAAAUUCGUAGAUAUCGGGGAGGAACACCGGUGGCGAAGGCGGCGAUCUGGGGUCGAUACUGACGCUGAGGAGCGAAAAGCGUGGGGGAGCGAACAGGG
RNAcentral lists this ribosomal RNA (263 nucleotides) under uncultured bacterium. RNAcentral's name for it is "partial 16S ribosomal RNA". It matches the Rfam family "Bacterial small subunit ribosomal RNA", at positions 524 to 777 of the family's 1533-position model. The record is from RNAcentral.